RNAcentral lists this transfer RNA (72 nucleotides) under Ictidomys tridecemlineatus (thirteen-lined ground squirrel). Its description in RNAcentral is "Spermophilus tridecemlineatus (thirteen-lined ground squirrel) tRNA". It matches the Rfam family "tRNA". From Rfam's summary of the family: Transfer RNA (tRNA) molecules are approximately 80 nucleotides in length. Their secondary structure includes four short double-helical elements and three loops (D, anti-codon, and T loops). The record is from Rfam by way of RNAcentral. Lineage: Eukaryota; Metazoa; Chordata; Mammalia; Rodentia; Sciuridae.
GGGGUAUGGCUCAGUUGGUAGAGCGCUUGCCUUGCAUGCACAAGACCCUGGGUUUGAUCCCCAGCACCACCA